GGGCGCACGGUGGAUGCCUUGACACUAGGAGUCGAUGAAGGACGGGACUAACGCCGAUAUGCUUCGGGGAGCUGUAAGUAAGCUUUGAUCCGAAGAUUUCCGAAUGGGGAAACCCACCAUACGUAAUGGUAUGGUAUCCUUAUCUGAAUACAUAGGGUAAGGAAGACAGACUCAGGGAACUGAAACAUCUAAGUACCUGGAGGAAGAGAAAGCAAAUGCGAUUUCCUGAGUAGCGGCGAGCGAAACGGAACAUAGCCCAAACCAAGAGGCUUGCCUCUUGGGGUUGUAGGACAUUCUAUACGGAGUUACAAAGGAACGAGGUAGACGAAGCGACCUGGAAAGGUCCGUCGUAGAGGGUAACAACCCCGUAGUCGAAACUUCGUUCUCUCUUGAAUGUAUCCUGAGUACGGCGGAACACGUGAAAUUCCGUCGGAAUCUGGGAGGACCAUCUCCCAAGGCUAAAUACUCCCUAGUGAUCGAUAGUGAACCAGUACCGUGAGGGAAAGGUGAAAAGCACCCCGGAAGGGGAGUGAAAGAGAUCCUGAAACCGUGUGCCUACAAAUAGUCAGAGCCCGUUAAUGGGUGAUGGCGUGCCUUUUGUAGAAUGAACCGGCGAGUUACGAUCCCGUGCGAGGUUAAGCUGAAGAGGCGGAGCCGCAGCGAAAGCGAGUCUGAAUAGGGCGUUUAGUACGUGGUCGUAGACCCGAAACCAGGUGAUCUACCCAUGUCCAGGGUGAAGUUCAGGUAACACUGAAUGGAGGCCCGAACCCACGCACGUUGAAAAGUGCGGGGAUGAGGUGUGGGUAGCGGAGAAAUUCCAAUCGAACCUGGAGAUAGCUGGUUCUCCCCGAAAUAGCUUUAGGGCUAGCCUUAAGUGUAAGAGUCUUGGAGGUAGAGCACUGAUUGGACUAGGGGUCCUCAUCGGAUUACCGAAUUCAGUCAAACUCCGAAUGCCAAUGACUUAUCCUUAGGAGUCAGACUGCGAGUGAUAAGAUCCGUAGUCAAAAGGGAAACAGCCCAGACCGCCAGCUAAGGUCCCAAAGUGUGUAUUAAGUGGAAAAGGAUGUGGAGUUGCUUAGACAACUAGGAUGUUGGCUUAGAAGCAGCCACCAUUUAAAGAGUGCGUAAUAGCUCACUAGUCGAGUGACUCUGCGCCGAAAAUGUACCGGGGCUAAAUACACCACCGAAGCUGCGGAUUGAUACCAAUGGUAUCAGUGGUAGGGGAGCGUUCUAAGGACAGUGAAGUCAGACCGGAAGGACUGGUGGAGUGCUUAGAAGUGAGAAUGCCGGUAUGAGUAGCGAAAGACGGGUGAGAAUCCCGUCCACCGAAUGCCUAAGGUUUCCUGAGGAAGGCUCGUCCGCUCAGGGUUAGUCAGGACCUAAGCCGAGGCCGACAGGCGUAGGCGAUGGACAACAGGUUGAUAUUCCUGUACCACCUCUUUAUCGUUUGAGCAAUGGAGGGACGCAGAAGGAUAGAAGAAGCGUGCGAUUGGUUGUGCACGUCCAAGCAGUUAGGCUGAUAAGUAGGCAAAUCCGCUUAUCGUGAAGGCUGAGCUGUGAUGGGGAAGCUCCUUAUGGAGCGAAGUCUUUGAUUCCCCGCUGCCAAGAAAAGCUUCUAGCGAGAUAAAAGGUGCCUGUACCGCAAACCGACACAGGUAGGCGAGGAGAGAAUCCUAAGGUGUGCGAGAGAACUCUGGUUAAGGAACUCGGCAAAAUGACCCCGUAACUUCGGGAGAAGGGGUGCUUUCUUAACGGAAAGCCGCAGUGAAUAGGCCCAAGCGACUGUUUAGCAAAAACACAGCUCUCUGCGAAGCCGUAAGGCGAAGUAUAGGGGGUGACACCUGCCCGGUGCUGGAAGGUUAAGGAGAGGGGUUAGCGUAAGCGAAGCUCUGAACUGAAGCCCCAGUAAACGGCGGCCGUAACUAUAACGGUCCUAAGGUAGCGAAAUUCCUUGUCGGGUAAGUUCCGACCCGCACGAAAGGUGUAACGAUUUGGGCACUGUCUCAACCAGAGACUCGGUGAAAUUAUAGUACCUGUGAAGAUGCAGGUUACCCGCGACAGGACGGAAAGACCCCGUGGAGCUUUACUGUAGCCUGAUAUUGAAUUUUGGUACAGUUUGUACAGGAUAGGCGGGAGCCUUUGAAACCGGAGCGCUAGCUUCGGUGGAGGCGCUGGUGGGAUACCGCCCUGACUGUAUUGAAAUUCUAACCUACGGGUCUUAUCGACCCGGGAGACAGUGUCAGGUGGGCAGUUUGACUGGGGCGGUCGCCUCCUAAAGUGUAACGGAGGCGCCCAAAGGUUCCCUCAGAAUGGUUGGAAAUCAUUCGUAGAGUGCAAAGGCAUAAGGGAGCUUGACUGCGAGACCUACAAGUCGAGCAGGGACGAAAGUCGGGCUUAGUGAUCCGGUGGUUCCGCAUGGAAGGGCCAUCGCUCAACGGAUAAAAGCUACCCCGGGGAUAACAGGCUUAUCUCCCCCAAGAGUCCACAUCGACGGGGAGGUUUGGCACCUCGAUGUCGGCUCAUCGCAUCCUGGGGCUGUAGUCGGUCCCAAGGGUUGGGCUGUUCGCCCAUUAAAGCGGUACGCGAGCUGGGUUCAGAACGUCGUGAGACAGUUCGGUCCCUAUCCGUCGUGGGCGUAGGAAAUUUGAGAGGAGCUGUCCUUAGUACGAGAGGACCGGGAUGGACGCACCGCUGGUGUACCAGUUGUUCUGCCAAGGGCAUAGCUGGGUAGCUAUGUGCGGAAGGGAUAAGUGCUGAAAGCAUCUAAGCAUGAAGCCCCCCUCAAGAUGAGAUUUCCCAUAGCGUAAGCUAGUAAGAUCCCUGAAAGAUGAUCAGGUUGAUAGGUUCGAGGUGGAAGCAUGGUGACAUGUGGAGCUGACGAAUACUAAUAGAUCGAGGACUUAACCAU
This 2908-nucleotide ribosomal RNA is filed under the name Bacillus anthracis str. SVA11. RNAcentral's name for it is "bacterial LSU rRNA". It matches the Rfam family "Bacterial large subunit ribosomal RNA". Lineage: Bacteria; Bacillati; Bacillota; Bacilli; Caryophanales; Bacillaceae. The record is from RNAcentral.